Molecule: ribosomal RNA, 1907 nt
Filed under: Shigella flexneri
Lineage: Bacteria; Pseudomonadati; Pseudomonadota; Gammaproteobacteria; Enterobacterales; Enterobacteriaceae
Also listed under: 2 other names
Description: partial 23S ribosomal RNA
Rfam family: Bacterial large subunit ribosomal RNA
Source: RNAcentral
AGUCAUGGUUAAGUGGGAAACGAUGUGGGAAGGCCCAGACAGCCAGGAUGUUGGCUUAGAAGCAGCCAUCAUUUAAAGAAAGCGUAAUAGCUCACUGGUCGAGUCGGCCUGCGCGGAAGAUGUAACGGGGCUAAACCAUGCACCGAAGCUGCGGCAGCGACGCUUAUGCGUUGUUGGGUAGGGGAGCGUUCUGUAAGCCUGUGAAGGUGUGCUGUGAGGUAUGCUGGAGGUAUCAGAAGUGCGAAUGCUGACAUAAGUAACGAUAAAGCGGGUGAAAAGCCCGCUCGCCGGAAGACCAAGGGUUCCUGUCCAACGUUAAUCGGGGCAGGGUGAGUCGACCCCUAAGGCGAGGCCGAAAGGCGUAGUCGAUGGGAAACAGGUUAAUAUUCCUGUACUUGGUGUUACUGCGAAGGGGGGACGGAGAAGGCUAUGUUGGCCGGGCGACGGUUGUCCCGGUUUAAGCGUGUAGGCUGGUUUUCCAGGCAAAUCCGGAAAAUCAAGGCCGAGGCGUGAUGACGAGGCACUACGGUGCUGAAGCAACAAAUGCCCUGCUUCCAGGAAAAGCCUCUAAGCAUCAGGUAACAUCAAAUCGUACCCCAAACCGACACAGGUGGUCAGGUAGAGAAUACCAAGGCGCUUGAGAGAACUCGGGUGAAGGAACUAGGCAAAAUGGUGCCGUAACUUCGGGAGAAGGCACGCUGAUACGUAGGUGAAGCGACUUGCUCGUGGAGCUGAAAUCAGUCGAAGAUACCAGCUGGCUGCAACUGUUUAUUAAAAACACAGCACUGUGCAAACACGAAAGUGGACGUAUACGGUGUGACGCCUGCCCGGUGCCGGAAGGUUAAUUGAUGGGGUUAGCGCAAGCGAAGCUCUUGAUCGAAGCCCCGGUAAACGGCGGCCGUAACUAUAACGGUCCUAAGGUAGCGAAAUUCCUUGUCGGGUAAGUUCCGACCUGCACGAAUGGCGUAAUGAUGGCCAGGCUGUCUCCACCCGAGACUCAGUGAAAUUGAACUCGCUGUGAAGAUGCAGUGUACCCGCGGCAAGACGGAAAGACCCCGUGAACCUUUACUAUAGCUUGACACUGAACAUUGAGCCUUGAUGUGUAGGAUAGGUGGGAGGCUUUGAAGUGUGGACGCCAGUCUGCAUGGAGCCGACCUUGAAAUACCACCCUUUAAUGUUUGAUGUUCUAACGUGGACCCGUGAUCCGGGUUGCGGACAGUGUCUGGUGGGUAGUUUGACUGGGGCGGUCUCCUCCUAAAGAGUAACGGAGGAGCACGAAGGUUGGCUAAUCCUGGUCGGACAUCAGGAGGUUAGUGCAAUGGCAUAAGCCAGCUUGACUGCGAGCGUGACGGCGCGAGCAGGUGCGAAAGCAGGUCAUAGUGAUCCGGUGGUUCUGAAUGGAAGGGCCAUCGCUCAACGGAUAAAAGGUACUCCGGGGAUAACAGGCUGAUACCGCCCAAGAGUUCAUAUCGACGGCGGUGUUUGGCACCUCGAUGUCGGCUCAUCACAUCCUGGGGCUGAAGUAGGUCCCAAGGGUAUGGCUGUUCGCCAUUUAAAGUGGUACGCGAGCUGGGUUUAGAACGUCGUGAGACAGUUCGGUCCCUAUCUGCCGUGGGCGCUGGAGAACUGAGGGGGGCUGCUCCUAGUACGAGAGGACCGGAGUGGACGCAUCACUGGUGUUCGGGUUGUCAUGCCAAUGGCACUGCCCGGUAGCUAAAUGCGGAAGAGAUAAGUGCUGAAAGCAUCUAAGCACGAAACUUGCCCCGAGAUGAGUUCUCCCUGACCCUUUAAGGGUCCUGAAGGAACGUUGAAGACGACGACGUUGAUAGGCCGGGUGUGUAAGCGCAGCGAUGCGUUGAGCUAACCGGUACUAAUGAACCGUGAGGCUUAACCUUACAACGCCGAAG